AAUCAAACUGGGAAAUAGCUCGUACUCUCCGAAAUGCAUUUCGGUGCAGCCUGUGAUGUUCUGUUCCAGAGGUAGAGCUACUGGUUGGACGCGAGGGCUUCACCGCCUAUCAAAUCCGGAUAAACUCCGAAUGCUGGAACACGAAAUCAUGGAGUGAGCCCGCGGGUGCUAAGGUCCGCGGACGAGAGGGAAAGAACCCGGACCACCGGCUAAGGUCCCGGAUGGACAGUUAAGUUGAUCAAACGAGGUGGGAUCGCUGAGACAGCUAGGAUGUUGGCUUGGAAGCAGCCAUUCAUUUAAAGAGUGCGUAACAGCUCACUAGUCGAGCGAUCCCGCGUGGAUAAUACACGGGCAUCAAACUGUCAACCGAAGCCGUGGGGGCAGCGAAAAGCUGACCGGUAGGAGAGCAUUCCUGCCAGCGUUGAAGGUCACCCGCGAGAGUGACUGGAGCGGCAUGAAAAGCAAAUGUAGGCAUAAGUAACGAUAAUGGGGGCGAGAACCCCCCACGCCGCAAGACCAAGGAUUCCCCGGCAAUGUCAAUCAGCCGGGGGUCAGCCGGCCUCUAAGGCUCACCCGAAAGGGGAUGCCGACGAGAAACGGGUUAACAUUCCCGUGCUUCUCGUCACCGUGACGCGGUGACGGGGUGAUGAAUGGACCGCGCGCUGACGGAAUAGCGCGUUGAAGGCCGUACCCUGUGACGGUGGUAGUCAAGCACGCCACCGGAGGCGAAAGUCGAUAGUACCUCGAGGCCUCGGCCGAGGGGAUAGCGUCCAGGCAAUUUACCCCCUAGAAAACCCGCUAAACUUCAAGUGACGAGGAACCGUACUGUAAACGGACACACGUGGUCGGGUAGAACAUACCAAGGCGCUCGAGUGAUUCAUGGUCAAGGAACUAGGCAAAAUAGUCCUGUAACUUCGGGAAAAAGGACGCUCUAGUGAUAGAGCCGCAGAGUAAUGGCCCAGGCGACUGUUUACCAAAAACACAUGGCUAUGCCAAAUCGAAAGAUGACGUAUAUGGCCUGACACCUGCCCGGUGCCGGAAGGUUAAGAGGAGAGCUCAUCGGAAACGAGAAGGUUUGAAUUGAAGCCCCGGUAAACGGCGGCCGUAACUAUAACGGUCCUAAGGUAGCGAAAUUCCUUGUCGGGUAAGUUCCGACCUGCACGAAUGGUGUAACGAUCUGGGCACUGUCUCGACCAUGAGCUCGGUGAAAUUGUAGUUCCGGUGAAGAUGCCGGGUACCCGCGACGGGACGGAAAGACCCCGUGAACCUUUACUGCAGCUUCGCGUUGUUCCCGGGCACGGGACGUGUAGGAUAGGUCGGAGGCUACGAUUCGGUUUCGCCAGGAAUCGAGGAGCCAUCGUUGAAAUACGACCCUUCUCUUGUCUGGGAUCUAACCCUAGGUACAGGGGACACCGCGUGGUGGGUAGUUUGACUGGGGUGGUCGCCUCCAAAAGCGUAACGGAGGCUUCCAAAGGUACCCUCGGGUUGGUUGGUAAUCAACCUCAGAGUGCAAUGGCACAAGGGUGCUUGACCGGGAGACCAACGAGUCGAUCGGGUGCGAAAGCAGGGCAUAGUGAUCCGGUGAUCCCGCGUGGAAGGGUCAUCGCUCAAAGGAUAAAAGGUACUCCGGGGAUAACAGGCU
RNAcentral lists this ribosomal RNA (1642 nucleotides) under human gut metagenome. Its description in RNAcentral is "bacterial LSU rRNA". It matches the Rfam family "Bacterial large subunit ribosomal RNA", at positions 831 to 2483 of the family's 2925-position model. The record is from RNAcentral.